GCUAAACAAUGUAAUUUUUCUUUUCUAUCCCAUCCUAUCAUUCAUUUCUCUUGAACUACCAUAUGUUGUUUUUUGUUGAGUGGUGUCUUCUUCACACACUACAACAGAAAAUAAAUUGAACAUUUUCUACAAAUAAAUGAAUCCCAUUUGUAGCCUUGACUUUGCUUCAUGUGCUUGUUUGCACCAAGUUGAUUUGUGUUUUGAUUGAGAUGGCGAAUUAACUAAUAUGACAAAGUAACUUUUUAAUUUCCUAAUAACAAGUAUCAUGCCUUCAUGUUGUCUUACACCCCCC
This 292-nucleotide long non-coding RNA is filed under the name Glycine max (soybean). RNAcentral describes it as "long non-coding RNA (GMAX_LNC003452)". Lineage: Eukaryota; Viridiplantae; Streptophyta; Magnoliopsida; Fabales; Fabaceae. The record is from RNAcentral.